RNAcentral lists this ribosomal RNA (496 nucleotides) under Hesperopsis gracielae. Its description in RNAcentral is "eukaryotic LSU rRNA". The record is from RNAcentral. Lineage: Eukaryota; Metazoa; Arthropoda; Insecta; Lepidoptera; Hesperiidae.
AGAACUUUGAAGAGAGAGUUCAAGAGUACGUGAAACCGUUCAGGGGUAAACCUGCGAAACUCGAAUGAACGAACGGAGAGAUUCAUCGUCAUUCCGCGGCGUACGUGCGCGCGCCUCGAUGUCGCCGGUUCCGAUCGUGCGACACGGGUCGCGCACGUCGACGUCCGCGGACGGCGUGCACUUCUCUCUUAGUAAUACAUCGCGACCCGUUCGGAGUCGGCCUAAGCUUCGUCCCGGAGUCCCGUCGUCCAACGCAAGGCGGACGGUUGGACGGUGACGUUCGCCGGCCGGCUGUGCCGGACGGUAUUCAAACCUAAGAUAGGAAUCGCGCACGCGUUCAACGCGUCCGGCCCGACGCAAGACAACGUCGUCGUCGACGUCCUGCCCGUGCGCGGACGUUGGUGCGGCGCGUCUGUUGUCGCAGCCGUGCCGUCUCGGACUGUGCGCGUCUCUGUCUGCGAUGAUUCAGUUUCGGGCACUCGCAGGACCCGUCUUG